This 408-nucleotide ribosomal RNA is filed under the name uncultured eukaryote. RNAcentral describes it as "SSU rRNA". It matches the Rfam family "Eukaryotic small subunit ribosomal RNA", at positions 567 to 972 of the family's 1831-position model. The record is from RNAcentral.
CCAGCAGCUGCGGUAAUUCCAGCUCCAAUAGCGUAUAUUAAAGUUGCUGCAGUUAAAAAGCUCGUAGUUGGAUCUCGGGUGCAGGCUUGCGGUCCGCCUCGCGGCGGUCACUGCUCGCCCUGACCUCCGGGCCGGUGUCUCCGUCCCUUGGUGCUCUUGACUGAGUGUCUCGGGCGGCCGGUACGUUUACUUUGAAGAAAUUAGAGUGCUCAAAGCAGGCCCUUGCCGCCUGAAUAAUGGUGCAUGGAAUAAUGGAAUAGGACCUCGGUUCUAUUUUGUUGGCUCUCGGAGCUCGAGGUAAUGAUUAAUAGGGACUGACGGGGGCAUUCGUAUUGCGGCGACAGAGGUGAAAUUCUUGGACCGUCGCAAGACGAACUACAGCGAAAGCAUUUGCCAAGCAUGUUUUCA